RNAcentral lists this ribosomal RNA (254 nucleotides) under uncultured bacterium. RNAcentral's name for it is "partial 16S ribosomal RNA". It matches the Rfam family "Bacterial small subunit ribosomal RNA", at positions 524 to 776 of the family's 1533-position model. The record is from RNAcentral.
UACGUAGGGGGCUAGCGUUGUCCGGAUUUAUUGGGCGUAAAGAGCUCGUAGGUGGUUCGGUAAGUCGGAUGUGAAAUCUCCAGGCUCAACCUGGAGGGGUCAUUCGAUACUGCCGUGACUAGAGUUCGGUAGGGGAGACUGGAAUUCCUGGUGUAGCGGUGAAAUGCGCAGAUAUCAGGAGGAACAUCGGUGGCGAAGGCGGGUCUCUGGGCCGAUACUGACGCUGAGGAGCGAAAGCGUGGGGAGCGAACAGG